AAGUCGUAACAAGGUUUCCGUAGGUGAACCUGCGGAAGGAUCAUUAUCGAAUAAACUUGAACAGGCUGUUGCUGGUCCCCAGGACAUUUUGUGCACGCUUGUCAUCUUUAUCAUCUCUCCAACUGUGCACAUAUUGUAGACCCUGGAAUUCAUGAAUUCCGAGUGGGGACUGCUGUGCUUCAAUUCGAAGCCGGCUUUCCCUCAGGUCUAUGUACAUAUUUUGUUUCACAACCUCUGUUUAGAAUGUUGAAAUAAAUGAAAAAGUUAUAAAAUACAACUUUCAGCAACGGAUCUCUUGGC
This 300-nucleotide unclassified non-coding RNA is filed under the name Inocybe sp. RNAcentral describes it as "partial contains small subunit ribosomal RNA, internal transcribed spacer 1, and 5.8S ribosomal RNA". The stretch from base 1 to 46 matches the Rfam family "Eukaryotic small subunit ribosomal RNA", at positions 1786 to 1831 of the family's 1831-position model. The record is from RNAcentral. Lineage: Eukaryota; Fungi; Basidiomycota; Agaricomycetes; Agaricales; Inocybaceae.